Molecule: ribosomal RNA, 425 nt
Filed under: uncultured bacterium
Lineage: Bacteria
Description: partial 16S ribosomal RNA
Rfam family: Bacterial small subunit ribosomal RNA
Source: RNAcentral
GUGAGGAAUUUUGCGCAAUGGGGGCAACCCUGACGCAGCGACGCCGCGUGGAGGACGAAGUCUUUCGGGAUGUAAACUCCUGUCAGUGGGGACGAUAAUGACGGUACCCACAGAGGAAGCACCGGCUAACUCCGUGCCAGCAGCCGCGGUAAGACGGAGGGUGCAAGCGUUGUUCGGAAUUACUGGGCGUAAAGCGUAUGUAGGCGGCAAGUUAAGUUCAAUGUUAAAGCCCACGGCUCAACCGAAGAGAUGCAUUGAAUACUGGCUAGCUAGAGGGUGUUAGAGGAAGACGGAAUUCCCAGUGUAGCGGUGAAAUGCGUAGAUAUUGGGAGGAACAUCGGUAGCGAAAGCGGUCUUCUGGGACAUACCUGACGCUGAGGUACGAAAGCGUGGGGAGCAAACAGGAUUAGAAACCCGGGUAGUCC